RNAcentral lists this transfer RNA (72 nucleotides) under Camelus bactrianus (Bactrian camel). It matches the Rfam family "tRNA". From Rfam's summary of the family: Transfer RNA (tRNA) molecules are approximately 80 nucleotides in length. Their secondary structure includes four short double-helical elements and three loops (D, anti-codon, and T loops). Further hydrogen bonds mediate the characteristic L-shaped molecular structure. tRNAs have two regions of fundamental functional importance: the anti-codon, which is responsible for specific mRNA codon recognition, and the 3' end, to which the tRNAs corresponding amino acid is attached (by aminoacyl-tRNA synthetases). tRNAs cope with the degeneracy of the genetic code in two manners: having more than one tRNA (with a specific anti-codon) for a particular amino acid; and 'wobble' base-pairing, i.e. permitting non-standard base-pairing at the 3rd anti-codon position. RNAcentral also lists the same sequence under 3 other names. The record is from Rfam by way of RNAcentral. Lineage: Eukaryota; Metazoa; Chordata; Mammalia; Artiodactyla; Camelidae.
GAGGGUGUAGCUCAGCAGCAGGGUGCGUGCUUAGCAUGCAUGAGGUCCCGGGUUCAGUCCCCAGUACCUCCA